CUUUGCCCGGAGUCUUGGAGGGGGAUGGUACGGAUGGAGAAGGGUGAGACGACGGCGCAUCCAGGUUCCUGAGUGGAGACCAGCCGGGAGGACGGCGCCGAAUCUGAGAGGGAGUAACAGCUUGGACACAGCAUGCUGUAAACAGGCAGCUCAUUAAAGUGUGUACCUGUCUAGUGGCAUGGCCGACUCUGUUUAUGGCGAACAG
This is a long non-coding RNA of Poeciliopsis prolifica (blackstripe livebearer), 205 nucleotides long. RefSeq lists it as uncharacterized. The transcript is spliced from 3 exons. The record is from RefSeq and is a predicted model, not a curated record. NCBI's taxonomy places the organism in Eukaryota, Metazoa, Chordata, Actinopteri, Cyprinodontiformes, Poeciliidae.